AUGGCCACCGUGGCGGCGACCAUGGCGACGCCGACGCGCCACCGCCAGUUCCGCGUGCGCGCCGCCUGGGACAUGAACCCGGGCGCCGCCACCGUCGCCGUGCCCAAGCCGUCAAAGGACAAACCCAAGCCAGCCCUGGGGCAGUCGCCGGCGGCGGCGACCACCCCCGCACGCGCACCCCCUCCCACACACGCCGACCUCUUCGCGCGCAGCAGCGAGGACCAAGCAAAGAAGAGCACGUACAUGGGGUUUGAGAAGUGGUGGUUGCCGCCUGCGCCAGAGGUGAAGAAACCCCGUUCACUCUACAACGCGGCAUCGCUGGCAUACUUGGGGGACUGCAUAUAUGAACUCUAUGCUCGGAGACACUUCUUCUUUCCUCCACUGAGCAUCAAUGAAUACAAUAAGCGUGUGAUGGAUGUUGUGAAAUGUGAAUCACAGGAUCUGCUGCUGAACAAACUCCUGGGAGAGGAUUUUCUAACUGAAGAAGAAAGGGACAUACUUCGUUGGGGAAGGAACAUCGUUAGCAGCAAAACUCGUACAAGAAAACGGGCAGGAAUCGCAGUGUACAAUCGAGCAUCUUCACUUGAAACACUGAUCGGAUAUCUUUACCUCACGAAUUUCAAGCGCUUGGAGCAAAUGAUGUUCCAGUUAGGAUUCACAAGUGGUGCUUCGUCACAGAAUAUUGCAGAUGAGCUGCUCUCAAGCUUCCAGAAAACAACCUCAACUUCUGUACAAUCUCAGCAACCUGCAAAGCGAUGA
RNAcentral lists this ribosomal RNA (759 nucleotides) under Triticum aestivum (bread wheat). Its description in RNAcentral is "partial small subunit ribosomal RNA". The record is from RNAcentral. Lineage: Eukaryota; Viridiplantae; Streptophyta; Magnoliopsida; Poales; Poaceae.